This 328-nucleotide unclassified non-coding RNA is filed under the name plant metagenome. RNAcentral describes it as "partial contains 5.8S ribosomal RNA, internal transcribed spacer 2, and large subunit ribosomal RNA". The stretch from base 1 to 105 matches the Rfam family "5.8S ribosomal RNA", at positions 50 to 154 of the family's 154-position model. The record is from RNAcentral.
GAAAUGCGAUAAGUAAUGUGAAUUGCAGAAUUCAGUGAAUCAUCGAAUCUUUGAACGCACAUUGCGCCCGUCAGCAUUCUGGCGGGCAUGCCUGUUCGAGCGUCAUUUCAACCCUCAGGACCCCCCUUUCGCGGGGAGGGACCUGGCGUUGGGGAUCGGCCCGCCCCCCGCGGCGGCGCCGUCCCCGAAAUCUAGUGGCGGUCUCGCUGCAGCCUCCCCUGCGCAGUAGUUACAACCUCGCAUCGGAGCGCGGCGCGGCCACGCCGUAAAACCCCCGACUUUCUGAACGUUGACCUCGGAUCAGGUAGGAAUACCCGCUGAACUUAAG